UGCGUAGGCGGCUUUCUAAGUUGGAUGUGAAAACUAUGGGCUCAACCCAUAGCCUGCAUCCAAAACUGGAGAGCUUGGGUUCUGGAGGGGAAAGCGGAAUUCCUGGUGUAGCGGUGAAAUGCGUAGAUAUCAGGAGGAACACCGGUGGCGAAGGCGGCUUUCUGGACAGAUACCGACGCUGAGGCACGAAAGCUGGGAGCAAACA
Molecule: ribosomal RNA, 205 nt
Filed under: uncultured bacterium
Lineage: Bacteria
Description: partial 16S ribosomal RNA
Rfam family: Bacterial small subunit ribosomal RNA
Source: RNAcentral